UUUCCUGAAACACGGCACUGUAUCAACAAGUGGCAUGUAUUAAGGGGUGGCCAGGACAGAAUGUCUCAUGUAUGUCACAUGUUCCCAAAUUUCCAGGUUGAACUCUAUAAUUGUAUCAAUUUGACAGAGACAGUUGAAGAAUUUGAAUCGUAUUGGGAGAUGAUCCUUGAUAAGUAUGACCUGAAGAAGAAUGAUUGGCUUCAAUCCAUAUAUAAUACACGUCGACAGUGGGCACCAGUUUAUUUUCG
This 248-nucleotide unclassified non-coding RNA is filed under the name Hevea brasiliensis (rubber tree). The record is from RNAcentral. Lineage: Eukaryota; Viridiplantae; Streptophyta; Magnoliopsida; Malpighiales; Euphorbiaceae.